AUAUCUUAUUUACUUUUUUUUUCUUUUCAAUAUAUCUCUCAUAUAUUACUUUGUUAUUCCAAAAUAUAUUGCAGUUAUUAUCUAUUAAGUUAGGUUAAACAUGAAUUAAAUAUCUACUAGAGUUAAAAAAAAAAAAUCAAAAUAUCUCUUUUGCCCUUAACUUGAGGAUAAAUAAAAAAUAUUGGUAAUGAUAGAAGGAUAUAUUUAAAAAGAUAAAAAAUCAAAAUAUUUUUUCUGCACCCUAAUUUAAGAGCAAAUAAUAAAAGUCGGUGAUGGUGGAAGGGUAUAUAUUUAAAAAGACAAAAUAGUAACUUCAUACAAAUAAUAGUUAUUGCUAAUACUCCAAUAACAAAACUCAACUUUAGAAGUAUAUUUGAAAUAGGUUGGAACAUAAAAAAAUAUAUUUUUAAUAUUAGCCUUUCAAGAGGAAUAAUAAAUUAGAAAGUCGAAAAUUUUUCAAAAAUAUAUAAGCAAUUGGCCCUUAUUUUUAAUUACUU
This 497-nucleotide long non-coding RNA is filed under the name Ananas comosus (pineapple). Its description in RNAcentral is "long non-coding RNA (ACOM_LNC010563)". Lineage: Eukaryota; Viridiplantae; Streptophyta; Magnoliopsida; Poales; Bromeliaceae. The record is from RNAcentral.